UGUUAAAAAUAUCAUUCACUUGUAUUAUUAAAAACUAAUGUGGUUGACAGGAUAACCAGACGGUAAAAUUUGGUAUGUCACAUAACCUCAUUUUGAUAUACAUGGAUCAAUUUCUAACAGUAGAAAUGGGUGAAUUUUUUAGUA
Molecule: microRNA precursor, 144 nt
Filed under: Gossypium hirsutum (cotton)
Lineage: Eukaryota; Viridiplantae; Streptophyta; Magnoliopsida; Malvales; Malvaceae
Description: MIR7502 microRNA precursor family
Rfam family: MIR7502 microRNA precursor family
Source: Rfam by way of RNAcentral